UCUUAAGAGGAGGGAGGAGAGGACGCAAGGAAGGAAAGGAAACAAGGGGAAUAGGAACCAAUUUCUCCUGUUUUCAGAGUCUUUAAGUUUCCACUGUAAUCUUCUCUCCAACAACCUUCUCUUCUGUUUGUCUCCAAUAGUCAGGAAAUCUUCACAUGAGAAAAAUAACUGUUCAAAUCAGUUCUAGUCUCAUCCAAAGGAAUCUUGUUUUCAGAUUCAGUAAGCCUUGUUUCAAGAUCAGCCUGCUUGGAUUGAGACAGAGUUUAGUCAUUCUUCACUAAUACUGGGUAUUUUUUCUCUACAUUUCUAUUUUUGGUUGAACUAAUCUUCAGCUUCAUUUGAUCAAAGGAAGAAAAAUAAAUAUGUCAUUGAUUAGAUUUAGUCGAUUUCACUGAUUUUAGGGCUGGAAAAGUGACAUUUUAAUCAUCUGAUCUUAAACCAGCAUGUUUGUCUGACUUUAAUCUUCCAAAUACAUUUGUAGACAUGAUUAUUUCUAGACUGAACAAUCUUCAUUCAAGAAAUCUUGUUUAGUGAAAUGAUCUUGCUGCAUGGACAGAUCAUUUAUCUUGUUUUUAGGACCUUUUCUCUCAGAUUUAGUGUUUUUAUCUUGUUUUAUCUUAUUUUAUCUUGUGUUUAUCUUGUUUUCAUCUUGUUUUAUCUUGUUAUUUAUCUUGUUUUUAUCUUGUUUUCAUCUUGUUUUUAUCUUGUUUUUUAUUUAAUCUUGUUUUUAUCUUGUUUUAAUCUUGUUUUAAUCUUAUUUAAUCUUGUUUUCAUCUUGUGUUUAUCUUGUUUUCAUCUUGUUUUCAAAAUGUUUAUCUUUUUUUUAGUGUUUUUAUCUUGUUUUCAGUGUGUUUAUCUUGAUUAUUUCUUGUUUUUAGUGUUUUUAUCUUGUUUUUUAUCCUGUUUUUAUUUUGUUUUUAUCCUGUUUUUAUCUAGUUUUCAUCUUGUUUUUAGACCUGUUUCCCUCAUAUUUAGUGUUUUUAUCUUGUUUUUAACUUGUUUUUAUCUUGUUUUUGUCUUAUUUGAUCUUGUUUUUAUCUUGUUUUUAACCUAUUUUUAAGUUUUUAUCUUAUUUUAUCUUGUUUUCAGUGUUUUUAUCUUGUUUUUAGUGUUUUUAUCUUGAUUUUAUCUUGUUUUUAGUGUUUUUAUCUUGUUUUUAUCUUGUUUUUAGACCCCCUUUUUUGCAGUGGUUUACUCUGCGGUCUCAGACUGGAUCCAGUAGACCUGCUGGUCCCUGAAGAACCAUUGAGCUCCCAGAUGCCUGAUGCAGCGGUGGAGGUCAGAUCCAACAUAUGGCUCAGAGUGUGUGUGUGUGUGUGUGUGUGUGUGUGUGUGUGUGUGUGUGUGUGUGUGUGUGUGUGUGUGAGUGUGUGUGUGUGUGUGUGUGUGUGUGUGUGUAGAGGAGUGUGAGCUGCCAGCUGGCCCAGACAUGACAGAGAGAGAGGAUGAAUGAGAGAGAGAGAGAGAGAGAGGGAAAAAAGGAGGAGAGGAAGGAAGGAUGGAGGAGGGACAGAAGGAGGCAGCAGAGAAGGAUGGAGGGAGCGAGGUGGGAAGGUGAAAAGGAUGGAGGAGAGAAACAAACGUGGAGAAACUGGCAUCUGCUGCUGCCCUCCAACCCCCGCCAUCACCGCCACCGCCACCGCCACUGUCACCGACAGCAGCAGAGAGAGUGUGUGUGUGUGUGUGAGUGUGUGUGUGUGAGUGAGGAAGUGUGUGUGUGUGUGAGUGAGUGAGGAAGUGUGUGUGUGUGAGAGUGUGUGUAGAGAUAAGACGGAGGAAAGGGCCCAGAUGGUCUGAGGGGAGAGUGACAAGUGGCUGUCAGGGGAUUCAGACAGGCUGGCCCUCUGCUGCCCUGCUGCCACACACACACACACACACACACACACACACACACACACACACACAAACGUGCGCGCACACACAUACACGCACACACGUGUGCGCACACACACAUGCACACACACCUCAGUGUCUUUGUCA
This 1980-nucleotide long non-coding RNA is filed under the name Xyrichtys novacula (pearly razorfish). Lineage: Eukaryota; Metazoa; Chordata; Actinopteri; Labriformes; Labridae. The record is from RNAcentral.